RNAcentral lists this transfer RNA (70 nucleotides) under Ophiopholis mirabilis. Its description in RNAcentral is "tRNA-Val". It matches the Rfam family "tRNA". From Rfam's summary of the family: Transfer RNA (tRNA) molecules are approximately 80 nucleotides in length. Their secondary structure includes four short double-helical elements and three loops (D, anti-codon, and T loops). The record is from RNAcentral. Lineage: Eukaryota; Metazoa; Echinodermata; Ophiuroidea; Amphilepidida; Ophiactidae.
GAGAAAGUAGCUAUGGGAAAAGUUUUACAUUUACGAUGUAAGGAUGCUCGUUUGACUCGGGUCUUUCUUA